RNAcentral lists this ribosomal RNA (387 nucleotides) under uncultured bacterium. RNAcentral describes it as "bacterial SSU rRNA". It matches the Rfam family "Bacterial small subunit ribosomal RNA", at positions 28 to 418 of the family's 1533-position model. The record is from RNAcentral.
GACGAACGCUGGCGGCGUGCUUAACACAUGCAAGUCGAGCGGUAAGGCCCUUCGGGGUACACGAGCGGCGAACGGGUGAGUAACACGUGGGUGACCUGCCUCUAGCUCUGGGAUAAGCCUGGGAAACUGGGUCUAAUACCGGAUAUGACUCCACGGCGCAUGUUGUGGGGUGGAAAGCCUUGUGUGGCUAGAGAUGGGCCCGCGGCCUAUCAGCUUGUUGGUGGGGUGAGGCCUACCAAGGCGACGACGGGUAGCCGGCCUGAGAGGGCGACCGGCCACACUGGGACUGAGACACGGCCCAGACUCCUACGGGAGGCAGCAGGUGGGGAAUCUUGCGCAAUGGGCGAAAGCCUGACGCAGCGACGCCGCGUGAGGGAUGACGGCCUU